Molecule: ribosomal RNA, 465 nt
Filed under: uncultured Klebsiella sp.
Lineage: Bacteria; Pseudomonadati; Pseudomonadota; Gammaproteobacteria; Enterobacterales; Enterobacteriaceae
Description: bacterial SSU rRNA
Rfam family: Bacterial small subunit ribosomal RNA
Source: RNAcentral
CCUACGGGAGGCAGCAGUGGGGAAUAUUGCACAAUGGGCGCAAGCCUGAUGCAGCCAUGCCGCGUGUGUGAAGAAGGCCUUCGGGUUGUAAAGCACUUUCAGCGGGGAGGAAGGCGUUAAGGUUAAUAACCUUGUCGAUUGACGUUACCCGCAGAAGAAGCACCGGCUAACUCCGUGCCAGCAGCCGCGGUAAUACGGAGGGUGCAAGCGUUAAUCGGAAUUACUGGGCGUAAAGCGCACGCAGGCGGUCUGUCAAGUCGGAUGUGAAAUCCCCGGGCUCAACCUGGGAACUGCAUUCGAAACUGGCAGGCUAGAGUCUUGGAGAGGGGGGUAGAAUUCCAGGGGUAGCGGUGAAAUGCGUAGAGAUCUGGAGGAAUACCGGUGGCGAAGGCGGCCCCCUGGACAAAGACUGACGCUCAGGUGCGAAAGCGUGGGGAGCAAACAGGAUUAGAUACCCGAGUAGUC